UCAACCCUCAAGCUSUGCUUGGUCUUGGGCCCUGCCGGCAACGGCGGGCCUCAAAAACAGUGGCGGCGCCAUCGUGCUCUCAGCGUAGUAAUUCUUCUCGCUGUUGGGCCCCGGUGGCGGCUGGCCAGCAACCCCCAAUUUUCUAUGG
This 148-nucleotide ribosomal RNA is filed under the name Calycina citrina. RNAcentral's name for it is "internal transcribed spacer 2". Lineage: Eukaryota; Fungi; Ascomycota; Leotiomycetes; Helotiales; Pezizellaceae. The record is from RNAcentral.